UUAAAAAUAAAUUUUUUAAAUAUACUCUUUUUAAUUUUUUAAUAAUUUAAUUAAUUAAAAUUUAAUAGUUAAAUAAUAAUAUAUAAAAAUAUAUAAUUAUUAUAAAAUUAAAAAAUUAAUUUAAAAAUUAACUUAAAUUUAAGAAAAAUUUAUUUUUUUUACCUUUUGUAUCAGGAUUAAUCAAAAAAUUAUUUAAAUUAAUAAUUCUCGAAUUUAAAAAAUUUAAAUUUUUUUAAUUUUAUUAAUAUAGAAUUAUUAAAUAAAAUAAAAAUUUAGAAACUACAAAUUAAUCAAUUUUAAAAAUAUCUAGUUAUUUAGAAAAUAAAUUUAAUUUAAUUUUAAUUUAAAAAUAUUUUUUUAAAAAAUUUCAAUAAAAUUAAAAAAAUAAUUUAAGGGAUAAACUUUAAAUUAAAAUUAUAAAUUUAAAUUAAUUUAAUUUUAUAAUUUAAAAAUAAAAUUUUUUUUAAUUAAUAAAUAUUUAAUAAUUUUAUAAAAUCUAAUAAAAAUUUAAAAAUUAAUUUUUAAUUAAUUUACUAAAUUAUAAAAAAUAAUUAAAAUAUUUUAAAAACAAUGAUUAAAUUAGUAAUUAAUAAAAUUAAAUUUUAUAUAAUAAAAAUUUAUAAUUAAAUUUAAUUAAUUAAGCAAAUUUAUAUUCACCUGUUUAACAAAAACAUGUCUUAUUGAAAAUAAUUUUAAGUCAAAUCUGCUCAAUGAAAAUUUUAAAUAGCUGCAGUAUCCUUAACUGUACUAAGGUAGCAUAAUAAUUAGUUUUUUAAUUAAAAACUUGAAUGAACGAUUUAAUGAAAUAUAAACUGUAUCAAAUUUAUUAAAUAAAAUUUUUAUUUAAAUAAAAAAAUUUAAAUAAAUAUUAAAGACGAGAAGACCCUACAGAAUUUUUAUAAUUUUACAAUAAAAAUAAUUUUAAAAUUAUUUUAAUUGGGGAAAUUUUAAAAUUUAUUAAAUUUUUAAUUAAAUAAACAUAAAUUUUUGAAUAUUUAAAAUUUUUUAAAAAAUAAAAUUAAAUUACCUUAGGGAUAACAGCAUAAUUUUUUUUAAAAGUUCAUAUUUAAAAAAAAGUUUAUGACCUCGAUGUUGAAUUAAGAUUAAUUUAAUAGAAAAAUAUUAAAAAUUUAAGUCUGUUCGACUUUUAAAAUCUUACAUGAUUUGAGUUAAGAUCGGUGUAAGCCAGAUCGGAUUCUAUCUUAAUAAAUAAUUUAUAUUAUUGUACGAAAGGAAUUAAUAUUAAAAAUAAUUUUUUAAAAUAAAUAAAUUCAUAAU
RNAcentral lists this ribosomal RNA (1278 nucleotides) under Pholetesor sp. SNS-2016. RNAcentral's name for it is "16S ribosomal RNA". The record is from RNAcentral. Lineage: Eukaryota; Metazoa; Arthropoda; Insecta; Hymenoptera; Braconidae.